Molecule: ribosomal RNA, 463 nt
Filed under: Lysinibacillus xylanilyticus
Lineage: Bacteria; Bacillati; Bacillota; Bacilli; Caryophanales; Bacillaceae
Description: bacterial LSU rRNA
Rfam family: Bacterial large subunit ribosomal RNA
Source: RNAcentral
GAGAGCGUUCUAAGUGCGUUGAAGUCAGACCGGAAGGACUGGUGGAGCGCUUAGAAGUGAGAAUGCCGGUAUGAGUAGCGAAAGACGGGUGAGAAUCCCGUCCACCGUAUGACUAAGGUUUCCUGAGGAAGGCUCGUCCGCUCAGGGUUAGUCGGGACCUAAGCCGAGGCCGAUAGGCGUAGGCGAUGGACAACAGGUUGAUAUUCCUGUACCACCUCCUCACCGUUUGAGAGAUGGGGGGACGCAGUAGGAUAGGGUAAGCGCGCUGUUGGAUAUGCGCGUCCAAGCAGUAAGGCGUGUGUGUAGGCAAAUCCGCACACUAUAACGUUGAGCUGUGAUGGCGAGUCCGUAUGGACGAAGUUCCUGAUUUCACACUGCCAAGAAAAGCCUCUAUCGAGGUGAGAGGUGCCCGUACCGCAAACCGACACAGGUAGUCGAGGAGAGAAUCCUAAGGUGUGCGAGA